GGACAAGAAUACUUACCCAAUUAUGCUUGAUUAGUCUCUUUUCUCUCUCCUAGGGUUUCCAUGUAUUUUGGGGAUGAAGAUGAUAAUAAUAUGAUGAUAUUUCUUAUUUAUUAAUUUAUCAUCUUUUAAUUAUUUUAGUUUUCAAUUUAGUCCUUAACCUUUUCUAAUUUUUCCAUGGAUGAAUCACCAAAAAUAUCUACUAACUUUUCUUUAAUGGUCUAA
Molecule: long non-coding RNA, 222 nt
Filed under: Gossypium barbadense (sea-island cotton)
Lineage: Eukaryota; Viridiplantae; Streptophyta; Magnoliopsida; Malvales; Malvaceae
Description: long non-coding RNA (GBAR_LNC000551)
Source: RNAcentral